GGGCUAAUAAUGAGACCUCAUUGUGUGUCGAAGAGAGAUGAUGACUUAAAAAUCAUGCUCAAAAGGAUUACCCUGGGGCAU
Small nucleolar RNA from Oryctolagus cuniculus (rabbit), 81 nucleotides. Its record names the gene SNORD115. It matches the Rfam family "Small nucleolar RNA SNORD115". From Rfam's summary of the family: HBII-52 is a member of the C/D class of snoRNAs, which contain the C (UGAUGA) and D (CUGA) box motifs. HBII-52 is encoded in a tandemly repeated array with another C/D snoRNA, HBII-85, in the Prader-Willi syndrome (PWS) region of chromosome 15. NCBI's taxonomy places the organism in Eukaryota, Metazoa, Chordata, Mammalia, Lagomorpha, Leporidae. The record is from Ensembl.